This 708-nucleotide long non-coding RNA is filed under the name Homo sapiens (human). Its description in RNAcentral is "SLIRP overlapping transcript 1 (SLIRP-OT1)". Lineage: Eukaryota; Metazoa; Chordata; Mammalia; Primates; Hominidae. The record is from RNAcentral.
CUACCGUCACCAACCCCAUCUCGUUCGCCCGAGCCGCGGACCUGAGGGAGCGCUGUCCGCUCCCCGCAAGAUGCUCACGCGAAAAACCCACUCUUCAGUGUCUGAGACCACUCCGCAGCUUUCGGCCUCGGUGAGCGGGUGAACUAAACCCGGGAAACCGCUGAAAGACCCCAGCUUCGACUAGGCCUAGUCGUAGCGGCGGCCAGCGGGAGGGCGUAGCCGUAGUCUUGGCCCACGUCAUUCUGUGCCCCGGGUCAGGUCACCGCCCGGAGGGUAUGGGAAGAGAAAUGAAGAAGACUGGUACUCCCAGACCCUUCCGUAUCGAGGACCCCAAUCAACAACCCACCUGGCAUGAUCAACCAGAGAUGGGGUCCCACUAUUUUGCCCAGGCUGGUCUUGAACUGCUGGGCUCAAGCAAUCCUCCUGCCUCAGCCUCCCAAAGUGCUGGGAUUACAGGUGUGAGCCACUGUGCCCGGCCCGGAGAACAUGAUCUUAACCAUACUGUCUUCCAAGUGAAAGAUUCUACCUUUCUAAGACAUCUGGAGUCAGACAGACCUGAGUUCAAGUCGUGCCUUCCUCCCCACUUUACUGAACCUUCAGUGAGUCUUUCUACCUCAGAAGGCUGUGAGGAUGCCAUGGGGUAAUGAAUGUAAAGUGUUUAAGUGCUUGGCUGACACUGAGUACUAAAUAAAUAUCAAUUUAUUCUUC